AAAAAAUAUGGCAAUGAUGAAUUGCUCCUCUUCCUCUGAGUUCACACAAAGUAAUAAAAUAUGGAUCUUUAUGACAAAAGUUAAGUUUCAUGUGAAGAACAGUUCAUAGGAGGGUUUAAUGGCUCACAGCAACGAUGGCAGAGCAUGUAACAUUACAGACGUGUCAGUUCACUGAAUCAGUGUCCCAGUGCAGCUGAGGAAAGGGUUCUGCAAAGAGGCACAAUAGUUUCUUCUCCUUGUUUGUGAGUUUCCAUCUCAUCAUCAUUUAAUUCAUCAUCUGUACUACUGCAGAUCAAUUUGACAUGGGUUAUUAACAUAUCUGGGUCCCGUGCUCCAAGCCAUAUGUCCCCGAUGUAAACAGAAGUCAGGAAUACAGAAACAGCCUUUUUGUUCACAUCCUCUUCCGUCACUGCUGACUGGCACAAUGUUUUUACAAGUUCAUGACAACUGCUGUUAGUCAGGCCUUGAGCAUCCAUCAGGUGAAGCAUGAUUGAACUGAACAAACAGAGGUCUUUUAAGUGUUCCACUGCCCCA
This 534-nucleotide long non-coding RNA is filed under the name Gallus gallus (chicken). Lineage: Eukaryota; Metazoa; Chordata; Aves; Galliformes; Phasianidae. The record is from RNAcentral.